This is a long non-coding RNA of Megalobrama amblycephala (Wuchang bream), 319 nucleotides long. RefSeq lists it as uncharacterized. The transcript has 3 exons. Lineage: Eukaryota; Metazoa; Chordata; Actinopteri; Cypriniformes; Xenocyprididae. The record is from RefSeq and is a predicted model, not a curated record.
GUAAAAGUUGGAGCAACACAUAAUAUCAGCACCGGACUGCUGAACAUGAUGUUCUGGACAUGUUUUGAAAGUGCUGUUGCUGGGGAUUUCAACACAGAUGGUUUCCUUCUCUGGUGUAAACAGAAAACAAAAAGUCUCUAUAGUUUUCAGGAAAAAUCCUUUUAAAAGAACAUUCUUGGUUCAAUACAAGUAGUUGCCCAGCAAGGACUAAAUGGUGACAACGUGUUCCUGGAAACACAGAGGAUUGAGAUAAGCUAUUCCAUGUAAGCCAGAUCACUAAAGCAACCAGAGCCCAUGACAACACUUGUUUCAACACCUU